AAAUUGAAGAGUUUGAUCAUGGCUCAGAUUGAACGCUGGCGGCAGGCCUAACACAUGCAAGUCGAACGGUAACAGGAAGCAGCUUGCUGCUUUGCUGACGAGUGGCGGACGGGUGAGUAAUGUCUGGGAAACUGCCUGAUGGAGGGGGAUAACUACUGGAAACGGUGGCUAAUACCGCAUAACGUCGCAAGACCAAAGAGGGGGACCUUCGGGCCUCUUGCCAUCAGAUGUGCCCAGAUGGGAUUAGCUUGUUGGUGAGGUAACGGCUCACCAAGGCGACGAUCCCUAGCUGGUCUGAGAGGAUGACCAGCCACACUGGAACUGAGACACGGUCCAGACUCCUACGGGAGGCAGCAGUGGGGAAUAUUGCACAAUGGGCGCAAGCCUGAUGCAGCCAUGCCGCGUGUAUGAAGAAGGCCUUCGGGUUGUAAAGUACUUUCAGCGGGGAGGAAGGUGUUGUGGUUAAUAACCGCAGCAAUUGACGUUACCCGCAGAAGAAGCACCGGCUAACUCCGUGCCAGCAGCCGCGGUAAUACGGAGGGUGCAAGCGUUAAUCGGAAUUACUGGGCGUAAAGCGCACGCAGGCGGUCUGUCAAGUCGGAUGUGAAAUCCCCGGGCUCAACCUGGGAACUGCAUUCGAAACUGGCAGGCUUGAGUCUUGUAGAGGGGGGUAGAAUUCCAGGUGUAGCGGUGAAAUGCGUAGAGAUCUGGAGGAAUACCGGUGGCGAAGGCGGCCCCCUGGACAAAGACUGACGCUCAGGUGCGAAAGCGUGGGGAGCAAACAGGAUUAGAUACCCUGGUAGUCCACGCCGUAAACGAUGUCUACUUGGAGGUUGUGCCCUUGAGGCGUGGCUUCCGGAGCUAACGCGUUAAGUAGACCGCCUGGGGAGUACGGCCGCAAGGUUAAAACUCAAAUGAAUUGACGGGGGCCCGCACAAGCGGUGGAGCAUGUGGUUUAAUUCGAUGCAACGCGAAGAACCUUACCUGGUCUUGACAUCCACAGAACUUUCCAGAGAUGGACUGGUGCCUUCGGGAACUGUGAGACAGGUGCUGCAUGGCUGUCGUCAGCUCGUGUUGUGAAAUGUUGGGUUAAGUCCCGCAACGAGCGCAACCCUUAUCCUUUGUUGCCAGCG
RNAcentral lists this ribosomal RNA (1133 nucleotides) under Salmonella enterica. RNAcentral describes it as "bacterial SSU rRNA". It matches the Rfam family "Bacterial small subunit ribosomal RNA", at positions 1 to 1123 of the family's 1533-position model. The record is from RNAcentral. RNAcentral also lists the same sequence under 30 other names. Lineage: Bacteria; Pseudomonadati; Pseudomonadota; Gammaproteobacteria; Enterobacterales; Enterobacteriaceae.